UUUUUUCUUUUUUCUUUUUCUUAUUCCAGUAGAGGGCACUCAAAGCUCAAAUAAAUGCAUGACAAUCAUUUUUACAGCGAUUGUUUUAUAUAAUUAAAGCUCAUAUUGAAGUGAAAAAGAGAAAAUCUGAUUUAAUGAGACUUAAUUACUAGUUACGCGUGUAAAUUUCACUAACAUGAAAUAAGAACCUAUAAGUGAUCACGUGAGAACAUGCCUCCCCAGACACUCUCGUUUCCUCUCUGCACACACUGAGAGUGGGAGGGAAAAUCUCUUGCCUAUGAGACAAGAUGGACUUUCUGAAUGCGCGUCCCCAAUGGACACCUGACCCUCGGGCUUCAUUUUCAUUCCCAUCUGACUUCUUUGAGACCCGGCUUAAAUAAUCUGGAAAUAAUCCUGGGGGCUAUGGACAAACAUCCCUCAGUGACAAUGGCCUGAGAAAGCACCAAUGGGACAGAAGUGACGAGGAGGAGAGGAAAUCCCUUGUUGGCGAAACUGUGCCACAAAUGAGGGAGGUGGCUCAGAGGGAGGUUGUCACCGCUGCGCACAGCCCACGAAGAGUUCUUAGGGAAGCUUCCAGAAGACCUCGUGUUUCGGAGAGCUGUGAAAAUCCAAGUAUCAUUUGUACUUGAGGGAAGACACUCUUCCAAGCACAAGAUUAGCCUUGUGUGGCUUUGGUUGCCAAUUUGGCCGGAUCGCAGUGGAAGAUGUGAACAGUGGUAACGCGGCUGUCAGUAUCUUGUCAAGGGUUCUCCUGGAGGAGUCAGACCCUGGGGUCAAGUGAUUCUGCAGCUAUGGUCGUUGCCACAAGCGGGUUGCCAUGAUCCAAGCACAGCAGCUUUUCCAAACACAGAGGACAUUUCGGUUUGGCUUCACAUCUCAUGUCAGAGUGAGGGUUACUUGCAGGCAGCGAACGGGAAUCGCUUCCAGUUUCCUGUAAUAAUGAUGACCUAUCAAUAUGAAUUAGCUUCUUAGGUAGUACGCAGGCUGCUUAAGGGGAAGAGAAGAUUCUUCCCCAAAAAGUCUUCUUGGCAGAGAUUGUGGACCUGGCAUUACAGAGAGUAUGUUACGGCUUUAUGACUUAUUUAUAACAGACUUUUUUUUUAAGGCACCGUUACAAGAUUCUGAGACUUUACGAUUUAAACAUCUCCGCUUCUCUGCCCCACCACCCUCACCAGACGCAGCCUUCCCAGUGCUCAUAAACUCUGGAUGCCGUAGUGCUGGGAUUCAGCCGUCGUUCAUUUGUGUCAACUCCCUUGAACUCAGGAUGCAAGUGCCAGGGGAGCAAAGGUCUGAGAAGCUAUGCAAAAUGGAAUUUUUUAAAAAGCACUUUCUCUUCGUCCUAAUAACACGACAGUACAAGAUAAAGGAUUUAGCGUGUAAGACCUCGAGGGUGUGCAAACAUCAAUAAUGAAAAUCAAACAGCUUUCAGCUCGCGGGGUUAAGUAUAGAAUAUGUAUUUAUGGCUUGAUUGUAAUUGUUGGGCACGUCUCUCCUUGCCAUAUAUGUUGACCUAUCAGGCGGCCGCGGGCCCGUUGUUUAUCCUUUUUCUCAGCUUCCUGACAUUGGCAUGAUUCAUAGUUGUAGGCGAUACACUACAAGGUUGCAUCUAGUUUCUAACCCUCUAGCUGAAGGUUUCCCUGUUACGUGGUUGGGCAAGCUAAAUAUUUUACGGAAAAUAACAUCAAAUUUGUACUAAAGGAAAAUCGUUCAAAUGAAAGGGAAUGCCAAAGGUCUUGACCCUGACCAGCCAGGCCCCACGUGGCAGUGCCGCAGAGUGGAAAACACACAGUGGUCCCGGCAGCAAGUGUGGCUUCUGUAACUUGUGCCAGCUACAACUUCUCUGCAGGUCUGUAAGUUCCUCCUUCUCCCAUCCAACCACCCAACCUCAAGAUUCUCUGCCCCUACGGAUGACUUUUGUAGCACCUAGGAUACGUUCUGCUGUGAGUGUGAGAACCAGAAGACCUAGCUAAAAAUAGCUUAAUAAAUAAAGGCCUGGGUGAUGACCUUACCUAACAGGAAGUCUGGCCACAGGGUAAUUCCAGCGACAUUCACUUGGUAGCUCAGUGAGGUCAGCUGGCCUGCACACAUCUUGUCUUCGGGCUCACAAGAUGACUACCAGCAGUAUCACAUCCUCACACGGUGACAUUCACAGAGAGGAACGAUCGUAGUUAGCCUGGACCAGUCAUCAUCUGUGCUCAGCCCAGAUGUGCCCAGGAGCACGAGGAGGGUGUGAACCAGGGGGGUGAAAGUGAUGGCCGGUGGGGGUUGCUUAGGCGAUGUGCGGUGUAGACAUGCACACAACACUCACUGGUAGGUUUCAGAGUGGUCUGAAGGCCCCGCAAGUACCCUAGAUGACAAAUAUCACCAUAACACAAUUCUGAUGGGUAGAGACCACCCUCCUUAUUUCGUAGUUUGAAAUUUUUCCUCUUUGGAACCUAUUCCCAGUUUGCUUAAAGCACUUGGGAGCACGCUAAAUUCCACAAGCAGCGUCUCUUAACCCUUCUGAAUUUAUUUGAAUCCUGAUCCCUCCGAAUAACUAAUAAGCAGCAUGGCACUCCAUGAGACAGAUGAUGGGGAACCUCCAUCAUUACUGCUUAUGCCUUACUAAGGGUGAUGGUGGUGGGAGGGAAGAAGGGUGCCACGUGGCUUCUAGAACUCAUCACGAUCAAGUUGUAAAACUUCAGACACUCAGUUUUUGCUGCCCUUAUGUUGCAUGAUUUCCUUCCAAAAAAAUCCAGAAUUUACCAGCUAUUACCCCUCUUGCCAUUUUCAGGGGACCUCGUCAAUUCAAGAUGGUGUUUUGUCUAUGACCAAUGUGAGGCUGGCUGCCCUUCUUUUGUGGGAAUGGUCACUCAGAUAACAUAAUUCAUGGCCAGGAGACAUGUUAUGUGCCUCCCACUCUGUCCUUUAAUCUCAGGCUUCAUUAUCCCAGUCUGAGAUCCUCCUGCUACUGGUGAUGGAGAGGAAAAUGGGGCUUCUCUGUUGGCAUGAAGCUGGGGUUCCUUCUCACCCUAGUCCCCCUGAACUGGGGCUGCAAUGUAGAGUUGGAAGAGCCAGACAUUCUAGAAGAACAACUGCAUUCAUAAAGUAUAAGAGCGCUGAGAUUCCAAACACCAGAGGGUGAAUCAGGAUGUUCUCAACAGUCAGAGCAACAGGUGGAGGUGGAUGUCAACUGGGAAAUGGAUCCCAAAAUUCAGUCAGGGCAGUGUGAGCAGGAGAAAGCACACGACGAUCAGGGGUACAGAGGGGGUGACAAGGGGACUGAGCAAUUGAUGGAUACACCAAUCAGCCAGCCUGGCUCAACCAGGAGCAGUUUGGGUAAAAUCGGUUUUCCAAAUCACUUACACCGCCCGUGUAUUGCGGCCUUGAGACUGUUAGUGAUGAAAAUGAGAACGCAUUUCUACAUUGGGGAGGGGAAAUUUUAUAGAGGUUGCUUUGGGAGCCAAAGCUAUUCAUCCUCAGUGUAAUGCGAGUUUCUGUCAGCAACCUUUCCUGAUAUUUUAACCUCAUCUGCUCAAGAUUCUUUCUAGAUUUGGGGAUAAUUACUCACAUGCCGUUAAACAUUAUGUUUGAGAGGAUCGCGCUGAUGUGGAAUUUCUGGUGUCUGCCUUCCUGUUAUUGCUACAGAUUUAGGUGUGCUCUCUUGCAGAGCAUCACCCACAAGUAGCCUUGUGUCACUAGGCAAAUGGGUUUGACUUCAGAUGAGAAUUUAGUCUACAGAUUCACAUCAUAUGGAACAAUUAAGCUGUUUUCUAUUAUGUGCUAGUCAGAACAUUUCAGCAGAUAUAUAUGUGUAUAAUAAUAUAUAAUUAUAUUUAAUUACAUCAUAUUUUAUAAAUAUAUACUUAAAAUAUAUAAAUAUUAUAUAUAUAUAUAUCAAUUUAGAGAAAGUUUGUGGCUUCAGCUAAUAGAAACUCUGACUAAUAGGGACUUAACCAAAGGUAAGCUUGUAUUUUUCGGCUAAUGCCUCUGGAGACAGAGCCUUUUUAUCUUUUUGCUCUCCCAUUCUCAGCAUGAUGGCUCAUUGCCUCAGUGUCACUGGACGGCCGCUCCAGCCCUAAUCAUCUCAUCUGUGCUCAAGACCAGAGGUAAAGGAAAUCACUCCCUUUAUCAGGAAAGGAUAGGCUUUAUUGGCCAGAAUUGAGUCAUAUGGACACCGGUAGCUGCAAAGAAAGCUGGAAAAGCAUGUUAUUGAUUCUUGCAGCCUUAACUGAGGAGGUGGCUGAAGGCAAACGGGGUUAGGGAAGGGCAUGGAGCCAACUAGCCAAGGAUGACCACCACACCUGCUAUAGUAAAGGUCCCAAGCAGGAAUGAUACUAAAACCUAAAGGCAAGCUCUUACUUAAAUGAAACUUUGUGCGACAUACCACAAUAGCCCUGAAAGAUAGGAGAAGCUUAAAAGUUCACAGAAUCAAACAGGCCGAAAGCUGGCAAGUAUGAAGGAUAGAAACAAUUUUUAAAAUCUAAGUUGUUUCUUUGCCUUCCUAUUUUUCUUUAGUUAAAACUGCCUGCAGUUUUAAAAUAUUUUAUUUAUUUAGUUGAGAGAGAGACAGAGAUAGCAACAGAGAGCAUGAACAGGGGAGGAGCGGGAGAAGCAGGCUCCCCACCGAGCAGGGAGGCUGAGUGGGGCUUGAUCCCAGGACGGCGAUCGUGACCUGAGCUGAAGGUAGACGCUCAACCCACUGAGCCACCCAGGCGCCCCAUGCCUACAUUUUCUAAAGGAAUUUCAGAAAUCUUUUAAAGGUGUAUAAAUGAUUACAGAAUAACACAAGUUAAAAUUGGAGCAAAGGAAUAAAGGCUGAUUAGCUGAACCUAUUACGGUGAUCAUUUCACAAUGAACGUAAAUCAAACCAUCACGUCAUAUGCCUUACACAUAUACAGUGAUAUUUUUUUUUGUCAAUUAUUUCUCAACAAAACUGGAAAAAAAAGUUUUUUUAAAAUAAAGUUGCAAGCAAAUUGGAAGCAGGAAUCUGACUAAAAAUGCACUCACUCCUCGUUGAGGUAAACAUAUAUUAGGGGUGGACCCCAAAUUUUCCUUUACUCUCUCUCUCUCUCUCUGAUCUUUUGCUUUAUGUUCCCCCUAAAAGAGACCCUGCUAGGUCUCCUUCAGUUGCAGGGGGAAUGAGCUCCUCUGGGUCCUGGAGCAAAAUCAGUGGGAAAGGCAGGCAUCCGUCCACAGUGACCUCCUCCCUCCUGAGUUAUGCAGCCACUUCUUGGGACUGAGGUAGGUCUCCAAGGCUGCUUGGCCAGUUAGAGUGUUUUUUCAGUGCUUCUCCUGUUAAGGGACAUUUGAUUACUAUUAUUAUUAUUCAGUUCAUAAGAGCUUUUAGUUACUUUCUUUCUUGGAUUAAAGGAGAAAAGAGAGAGACUUAGUCCCUGAGGCUUCCAAGUGUCAGGGCCUGGCUCUGUGUCUCCCUGUGGCUCCUCUCAUCUUCCUGCUGGCUGGAAGGAGUCAUGUGCUGUAGGUGGAGAGGGCGAGGUUCAGCCCCGUUGAGUUAUGUGACCAUGGUUUGGCCCAGUCAUCGGCAGAGCUAGGUUGGAGCUUGGAUCUGACUCUGAAGCCCAGGCCUGUCCAUUAUGCCACUUUAAAGGAACAGCAUGACUACAUGUAUUCAUAAACCUGAGGUCCACUGUCAGAGCAGGCCAUCAUCAGAGGCUCAGUCCUUCUCCACUGUUCUCUCUGCUUUCUGAAGGCUGUCUAGGAAGAUUCCUGUGCUUGGAAUUAGAAGGCUUGCUUAUCACUUUCUGCUCUUUUACUUAAUAGCUGUGUGACCUUGGGUAAUUCAUGGAAGCCUCCUGAAGCCGGGUUUAGUCAUCUACAGACCUAAGGCAAUGACAUGGCCCACUCCCCCACCCCUGUGGUCACCUCAAGGCAGGACUGGUGAGGGGGAGAGGUCGGCAUAAAACUCAAAUGACAGCCUCUGUGGUACAGACCUUGGAAAGAACAUAAGCUUCAGCCACAUUCCAUGCGUUGUCUUAGGUAUUCAUUACUGGAAUCUCAAGAUGUGGUUUCAGAGAAAAUACAUUACUUUUCCGACCCUGGUUCACUAGCUUAGGAGUCUCCAUGGAACACUCGGUAGACUGUUCCCUAGUGUGCACCAAUAGCAACAUCAGCAAUGUGGCCAUGUUGAGAGGUUGGGUUACUUGACAAUUCCUAAAGUGAAAAGAAGUGAACUCCUCCUAGCCUCUAUUACCUGCCGCGAGGGUAGUUACUCUAGAGAGGGAGGGCUUUUGGCUCCGACAUCUCAUAUGGCUGAUCCUACACACAGCUGUUAGAGCAGGAAUCAGCACUGGUGAAAUAAGCACAGGAACUGCUGGAUAAAAUAGAUCCUAACUGAUUGGCAUUUUCGUGCCUCCCUAAAACACGAACUGCCUGUAUACUGCACUUACAUCCAAGGACACGCACACUUGCGCUCCUCUAGGCGGGCUCACAUGCACAAACAUAUGCCAUUGCACCGGGAACCUCUGAAGAGAAUUCUUUGGGAAGAAGGUCGGCUUUGGAGAGCCAUCUAAAUAUCUUGCAGACCCUGUGGGGAUGGUAGCCACCAUGCAACCACAGAGUCAGGCAGUCUCUGGAUCCAGCCCUCUGGAUCCAUGGUCCUCUGACUCAGCAUUGUUUCAAAGAUUUAGAAAAAAAAAAAUAAGUGGAAAAAAUAUUUCCUAGUGAUGAAUAGAUGCAGAGCAAAAUCAGCUUCUACCUAGAAUCCAGGAAUAUAUUUUUGGAUCUGGUGACCUGGAAAGAAGACAUUUGAAGCAGGAUCCUCCCAGCAUGACUUCCAAACCAGCCUCACAGUUCAGGGAGUAUACGUGCACAGGACAAGCACCAGGCUGGCGCUCGAAAAGAAAAUGGAAACAUUCAAAGGAGGCAGUAGGAACAUUUUUUUGACUGUGCAGCCAAUCAAGCAAUGGAAUAAAUUACUUGGGAAAACAUUUGGGCCUCCCUAAAUAGAAACAUUCAGGAGAAAAGUGAGAUGGAACACACAUUCCCAUUGUCAUUAUUGAGCAGUGUUUAUUGAGUGUGGACAGGGUACGAGGUAGCUUUCCAAAUGCAGAGGCACCCCCAGUUCCUGUGGAAAAGUGUGGGGAAGAGCUGCAUGUUGGCAGCUCCCGGCUGUAGCAGAAGCCAUGACUCAUGAAGACCCUGUGGCUCCGUGGCAAGUUUACAAACUCUUG
This 7172-nucleotide long non-coding RNA is filed under the name Canis lupus familiaris (dog). RNAcentral describes it as "lncRNA (ENSCAFG00000050344.1)". Lineage: Eukaryota; Metazoa; Chordata; Mammalia; Carnivora; Canidae. The record is from RNAcentral.